Molecule: ribosomal RNA, 498 nt
Filed under: uncultured bacterium
Lineage: Bacteria
Description: bacterial SSU rRNA
Rfam family: Bacterial small subunit ribosomal RNA
Source: RNAcentral
GAUGAACGCUAGCGACAGGCCUAACACAUGCAAGUCGAGCGGGAUCCACCUUCGGGUGGUGAGAGCGGCGCACGGGUGAGUAACGCGUAUGUAACCUGCCUACAACAGGGGGAUAGCUCUCGGAAACGGGAAUUAACACCGCAUAAGACCACGCUUUCGCAUGGGAGCGCGGUAAAAUCUGAGGAGGUUGUAGAUGGGCAUGCGUGACAUUAGGUAGUUGGUAGGGUAACGGCCUACCAAGCCAACGAUGUCUAGGGGUUCUGAGAGGAAGGUCCCCCACACUGGUACUGAGACACGGACCAGACUCCUACGGGAGGCAGCAGUGAGGAAUAUUGGUCAAUGGACGCAAGUCUGAACCAGCCAUGUCGCGUGCAGGAAGACGGCCCCUAUGGGUUGUAAACUGCUUUUUGUACGGGAAGAAAGUUAGCUACGUGUAGCUAUUUGCCGGUACCGUACGAAUAAGGAUCGGCUAAACUCCGUGCCAGCAGCCGCGGUAAU